AACGAACGCUGGCGGCGUGCCUAACACAUGCAAGUCGAACGUGAUCAGGCCUUCGGGCCUGUGAAAGUGGCGCACGGGUGAGUAACACGUGGAUAAUCUGCCUGGUGAUCGGGGAUAACA
This 120-nucleotide ribosomal RNA is filed under the name uncultured bacterium. RNAcentral's name for it is "partial 16S ribosomal RNA". It matches the Rfam family "Bacterial small subunit ribosomal RNA", at positions 29 to 148 of the family's 1533-position model. The record is from RNAcentral.